AGUGAACGCUGGCGGUAGGCCUAACACAUGCAAGUCGAACGGCAGCACAGGAGAGCUUGCUCUCUGGGUGGCGAGUGGCGGACGGGUGAGGAAUACAUCGGAAUCUACUCUGUCGUGGGGGAUAACGUAGGGAAACUUACGCUAAUACCGCAUACGACCUACGGGUGAAAGCAGGGGACCUUCGGGCCUUGCGCGAUUGAAUGAGCCGAUGUCGGAUUAGCUAGUUGGCGGGGUAAAGGCCCACCAAGGCGACGAUCCGUAGGUGGUCGGAGAGGAGGAUCAGCCACACGGGAACUGAGACACGGUCCAGACUCCUACGGGAGGCAGCAGUGGGGAAUAUUGGACAAUGGGCGCAAGCCUGAUCCAGCCAUACCGCGUGGGUGAAGAAGGCCUUCGGGUUGUAAAGCCCUUUUGUUGGGAAAGAAAUCCAGCUGGCUAAUACCCGGUUGGGAUGACGGUACCCAAAGAAUAAGCACCGGCUAACUUCGUGCCAGCAGCCGCCGUAA
Molecule: ribosomal RNA, 506 nt
Filed under: uncultured bacterium
Lineage: Bacteria
Description: partial 16S ribosomal RNA
Rfam family: Bacterial small subunit ribosomal RNA
Source: RNAcentral